Molecule: ribosomal RNA, 497 nt
Filed under: uncultured bacterium
Lineage: Bacteria
Description: partial 16S ribosomal RNA
Rfam family: Bacterial small subunit ribosomal RNA
Source: RNAcentral
GAUGAACGCUGGCGGCGUGCCUAAUACAUGCAAGUCGAGCGAACAGACGAGGAGCUUGCUCCUCUGACGUUAGCGGCGGACGGGUGAGUAACACGUGGAUAACCUACCUAUAAGACUGGGAUCACUUCGGGAAACCGGAGCUAAUACCGGAUAAUAUAUUGAACCGCAUGGUUCAAUAGUGAAAGACGGUUUUGCUGUCACUUAUCGAGGGAUCCCGGCCGCAUUAGCUAGUUGGUAAGGUAACGGCCUACCACGGCGACGAUGCGUAGCCGAACGGUGAGGGGGGUAGCCCACACGGGAACUGGACCAGGGACCAGGCGCCUGCGGGAGGGAGCAGUAGGGAAUGGGAGGCAAUGGGCGAAAGCCUGACGGAGCAAGGCGGCGUGAGUGGUGAAGGCGUUCGGAGCGUGAAACUCUGUUAUUAGGGAAGAACAAAUGUGGAAGUAACUAUGCACGGCGUGACGGUACCUAAUCAGAAAGCAACGGCUAACUACGUG